RNAcentral lists this ribosomal RNA (460 nucleotides) under uncultured bacterium. RNAcentral's name for it is "partial 16S ribosomal RNA". It matches the Rfam family "Bacterial small subunit ribosomal RNA", at positions 338 to 795 of the family's 1533-position model. The record is from RNAcentral.
CCUACGGGAGGCAGCAGUGAGGAAUAUUGGUCAAUGGACGAGAGUCUGAACCAGCAAUGUAGCGUGCAGGAUGACGGCCCUAUGGGUUGUAAACUGCUUUUGUACGGGGAUAAACCCCGAUACGUGUAUCGGUUUGAAAGUACUUUACGAAUAAGGAUCGGCUAACUCCGUGCCAGCAGCCGCGGUAAUACGGAGGAUCCGAGCGUUAUCCGGAUUUAUUGGGUUUAAAGGGUGCGUAGACGGUUUGAUAAGUUAGUGGUGAAAUGUUGGGGCUCAACCGCGAAACUGCCUUUGAUACUGGUGGACUAGAGAAUAGUUGCGGUAGGCGGAAUGCAUGGUGUAGCGGUGAAAUGCUUAGAGAUCAUACAGAACACCGAUUGCGAAGGCAGCUUACCAAACUAUAACUGACAUUGAGGCACGAAAGUGUGGGUAGCAAACAGGAUUAGAUACCCCAGUAGUC